GACCAGUUCCUAAUCUUUGUUGGACGGGACAGGGUCACCACUCCCUUGUAUUUUGGGAUUUGUGUAUUUUAAUGGGAUUUAUGGAUAUUUACCGUAAAGUACAAUGAUGGACCAGUUCCUGCUUUUGUUGGACGGGGCGGAGUUGCCACUCCCUUGUACAUGUAUAUUGGGAUUUGUGUAUUUUAAAGUCAUUUAUUGAUAUUUACGGUGCGUCUUGUAGUCACGGAUGCUUGUGUUAGAGAAAAUUGGCUACAGGCAAGGACAGCCUCAGCCUGACAUGUGUUAAUCAUAUGAUUGUUGACUGUUGAGUUGGGGGACUACUGUUUGUUAUCCAUUGUACCUGUAGAAUGGACACAAUGCAGUAUCAGAACUUACUUGUUCUAGUAAUUAGGUAAUUUUAUCUCCCUUCUCUCAUUCCAGACUCGGUUGCAAUGGAAGUUGAUG
Amphimedon queenslandica is the source of this 444-nucleotide long non-coding RNA. RefSeq lists it as uncharacterized. The record is from RefSeq and is a predicted model, not a curated record. NCBI's taxonomy places the organism in Eukaryota, Metazoa, Porifera, Demospongiae, Haplosclerida, Niphatidae. The transcript is spliced from 5 exons.